Dasypus novemcinctus (nine-banded armadillo) is the source of this 176-nucleotide unclassified non-coding RNA. Lineage: Eukaryota; Metazoa; Chordata; Mammalia; Cingulata; Dasypodidae. The record is from Ensembl.
CAGUGUUGGCUGUUUUUAAAAAAAAUCCCUUAGGUCUUGGGGCAGCACUAAUUAGCAAAGUGUAGUAAAAGGAUUGCAGCCUAGGGCUAUGCUUGUUGUAACUUUUGUACAAUAGCACCUUUACUAGAUAAUACGUGUUUAAAGCACCUAGGAAGCUUUGCUUUUCCGAAAGACUG